This 497-nucleotide ribosomal RNA is filed under the name uncultured bacterium. Its description in RNAcentral is "partial 16S ribosomal RNA". It matches the Rfam family "Bacterial small subunit ribosomal RNA", at positions 28 to 507 of the family's 1533-position model. The record is from RNAcentral.
GACGAACGCUGGCGGCGUGCCUAACACAUGCAAGUCGAACGCUAAGGGCUGGUCUUUGUGCGAACUGGGUGUGCAGCGAACGGGAGAGUCACGUGUGUGGACUCUGCCUUUCAGCGGGGGACAAUAUUUGGAAACGAAUUCUAAUACCGCAUAAACUCUUGCAACACAAUUUUUAUGGUUGAAAUAUGCCAUUGCAUCACUCAAAGAUGAUCCCGCGUUGUAUUAGCUAGUUGGUGAGGUAAAGGCUCACCAAGGCGAUGAUACAUAGCCGCCCUGAGAGGGUGAGUGGCCAGAUUGGGACGGAGACACGGCCCAAACUCCUAGGGGAGGGAGCAGGAGGGAAUCUUCGGGCAGGGGCGAAAGUCUGACCGAGCAACGCGGCGUGAGGGAAGAAGGUUGUCGGGUCGGAAAAGUCUGUUGGUAGAGAGGAACGUGGGUGAGAGUGGAAAGCUCAGCAAGUGACGGUAACGACCCAGAAAGCGACGGCUAACUACGUG